CCUACGGGAGGCAGCAGUGGGGAAUAUUGGACAAUGGGCGAAAGCCUGAUCCAGCAAUGCCGCGUGAGUGAUGAAGGCCUUCGGGUCGUAAAGCUCUUUUACCAGGGAUGAUAAUGACAGUACCUGGAGAAUAAGCUCCGGCUAACUCCGUGCCAGCAGCCGCGGUAAUACGGAGGGAGCUAGCGUUGUUCGGAAUUACUGGGCGUAAAGAGUACGUAGGCGGUUAUUCAAGUCAGAGGUGAAAGCCCGGGGCUCAACCCCGGAACUGCCUUUGAAACUAGAUAACUAGAGUCUUGGAGAGGUUAGUGGAAUUCCGAGUGUAGAGGUGAAAUUCGUAGAUAUUCGGAAGAACACCAGUGGCGAAGGCGACUAACUGGACAAGUACUGACGCUGAGGUACGAAAGCGUGGGGAGCAAACAGGAUUAGAUACCCUGGUAGUCCACGCCGUAAACGAUGAUAACUAGUUGUUCGGUCACUUGGUGACUGAGUGACGCAGCUAACGCAUUAAGUUAUCCGCCUGGGGAGUACGGUCGCAAGAUUAAAACUCAAAAGGAAUUGACGG
Molecule: ribosomal RNA, 562 nt
Filed under: uncultured bacterium
Lineage: Bacteria
Description: bacterial SSU rRNA
Rfam family: Bacterial small subunit ribosomal RNA
Source: RNAcentral